GCUGAUGCGUUGUUGGGUAGGGGAGCGUUCUGUAAGCCUGCGAAGGUGACCUGUGAGGGUUGCUGGAGGUAUCAGAAGUGCGAAUGCUGACAUAAGUAACGAUAAAGCGGGUGAAAAGCCCGCUCGCCGGAAGACCAAGGGUUCCUGUCCAACGUUAAUCGGGGCAGGGUGAGUCGACCCCUAAGGCGAGGCCGAAAGGCGUAGUCGAUGGGAAACGGGUUAAUAUUCCCGUACUUGGUGUUACUGCGAAGGGGGGACGGAGAAGGCUAUGUUGGCCGGGCGACGGUUGUCCCGGUUUAAGCGUGUAGGUGUGUGUUCCAGGUAAAUCCGGUUCACUUUAACACUGAGGCGUGAUGACGAGGCACUACGGUGCUGAAGCAACAAAUGCCCUGCUUCCAGGAAAAGCCUCUAAGCAUCAGGUAACAUCAAAUCGUACCCCAAACCGACACAGGUGGUCAGGUAGAGAAUACCAAGGCGCUUGAGAGAACUCGGGUGAAGGAACUAGGCAAAAUGGUGCCGUAACUUCGGGAGAAGGCACGCUGACACGUAGGUGAAGUGAUUUACUCACGGAGCUGAAGUCAGUCGAAGAUACCAGCUGGCUGCAACUGUUUAUUAAAAACACAGCACUGUGCAAACACGAAAGUGGACGUAUACGGUGUGACGCCUGCCCGGUGCCGGAAGGUUAAUUGAUGGGGUCAGCGCAAGCGAAGCUCCUGAUCGAAGCCCCGGUAAACGGCGGCCGUAACUAUAACGGUCCUAAGGUAGCGAAAUUCCUUGUCGGGUAAGUUCCGACCUGCACGAAUGGCGUAAUGAUGGCCAGGCUGUCUCCACCCGAGACUCAGUGAAAUUGAACUCGCUGUGAAGAUGCAGUGUACCCGCGGCAAGACGGAAAGACCCCGUGAACCUUUACUAUAGCUUGACACUGAACAUUGAGCCUUGAUGUGUAGGAUAGGUGGGAGGCUUUGAAGUGUGGACGCCAGUCUGCAUGGAGCCGACCUUGAAAUACCACCCUUUAAUGUUUGAUGUUCUAACGUGGACCCGUAAUCCGGGUUGCGGACAGUGUCUGGUGGGUAGUUUGACUGGGGCGGUCUCCUCCUAAAGAGUAACGGAGGAGCACGAAGGUUGGCUAAUCCUGGUCGGACAUCAGGAGGUUAGUGCAAUGGCAUAAGCCAGCUUGACUGCGAGCGUGACGGCGCGAGCAGGUGCGAAAGCAGGUCAUAGUGAUCCGGUGGUUCUGAAUGGAAGGGCCAUCGCUCAACGGAUAAAAGGUACUCCGGGGAUAACAGGCUGAUACCGCCCAAGAGUUCAUAUCGACGGCGGUGUUUGGCACCUCGAUGUCGGCUCAUCACAUCCUGGGGCUGAAGUAGGUCCCAAGGGUAUGGCUGUUCGCCAUUUAAAGUGGUACGCGAGCUGGGUUUAGAACGUCGUGAGACAGUUCGGUCCCUAUCUGCCGUGGGCGCUGGAGAACUGAGGGGGGCUGCUCCUAGUACGAGAGGACCGGAGUGGACGCAUCACUGGUGUUCGGGUUGUCAUGCCAAUGGCACUGCCCGGUAGCUAAAUGCGGAAGAGAUAAGUGCUGAAAGCAUCUAAGCACGAAACUUGCCCCGAGAUGAGUUC
This 1617-nucleotide ribosomal RNA is filed under the name Salmonella enterica. RNAcentral describes it as "partial 23S ribosomal RNA". It matches the Rfam family "Bacterial large subunit ribosomal RNA", at positions 1213 to 2811 of the family's 2925-position model. Lineage: Bacteria; Pseudomonadati; Pseudomonadota; Gammaproteobacteria; Enterobacterales; Enterobacteriaceae. RNAcentral also lists the same sequence under 1 other name. The record is from RNAcentral.